Molecule: non-coding RNA, 260 nt
Organism: Pelobates cultripes (western spadefoot toad)
Lineage: Eukaryota; Metazoa; Chordata; Amphibia; Anura; Pelobatidae
Source: the annotation of a GenBank genome assembly
GGAGGGUGUGACUAGUGACAGAGUGAGGGAGGGAAGGGGUGACUAGUGAGAGUGAGGGAGGUGGUGAUUAGUGACAGAGGGAGGAAUGGGGUGACUAUCACUGUGUCACCCCUUUCCUCACUCUGUCACUAGUCACCCUCUCCCUCCCUCACUCGGUCACUAUUCACCCCCUCUCUCACUCUGUCACCAGUCAUUCCCUCACUCUGUCACCAGUCAUCUCUUCCUUCCCUCACUCUGCCACUAUUCAUCCCUUCCCUCAC